UACGAAGGGUGCAAGCGUUCAUCGGAAUUACUGGGCGUAAAGCGUGCGUAGGCGGUUUGUUAAGUCUGCUGUGAAAUCCCCGGGCUCAACCUGGGAAUGGCAGUGGAUACUGGCAAGCUAGAGUGUGAUAGAGGAUGGUGGAAUUCCCGGUGUAGCGGUGAAAUGCGUAGAGAUCGGGAGGAACAUCAGUGGCGAAGGCGGCCAUCUGGAUCAACACUGACGCUGAGGCACGAAAGCGUGGGGAGCAAACAGG
RNAcentral lists this ribosomal RNA (253 nucleotides) under uncultured bacterium. RNAcentral's name for it is "partial 16S ribosomal RNA". It matches the Rfam family "Bacterial small subunit ribosomal RNA", at positions 524 to 776 of the family's 1533-position model. The record is from RNAcentral.